CGGAGUCACUAGGGGUGCCCGUUCAUCGGCCGAUUCGGCAGGUGAUCGAAGGGCUGAGAUCACACCCUCCGAACCUGAUCCGGGUCAUGCCGGCGCAGGGAAGUGAGAACGAACUCCA
Regulatory RNA element from Cyanobium sp. PCC 7001, 118 nucleotides. It matches the Rfam family "TPP riboswitch aptamer (THI element)". Rfam says of the family: Vitamin B(1) in its active form thiamin pyrophosphate (TPP) is an essential coenzyme that is synthesised by coupling of pyrimidine and thiazole moieties in bacteria. Lineage: Bacteria; Bacillati; Cyanobacteriota; Cyanophyceae; Synechococcales; Prochlorococcaceae. The record is from Rfam.